GCCCUUUUAGUCUAGUGGUCAGGACCUUGCCUUUUCACGGCAAUAACACGGGUUCGAACCCCGUAAAGGGUA
Molecule: transfer RNA, 72 nt
Rfam family: tRNA
About the family: Transfer RNA (tRNA) molecules are approximately 80 nucleotides in length. Their secondary structure includes four short double-helical elements and three loops (D, anti-codon, and T loops).
Source: Rfam